Molecule: long non-coding RNA, 2091 nt
Filed under: Androctonus crassicauda
Lineage: Eukaryota; Metazoa; Arthropoda; Arachnida; Scorpiones; Buthidae
Source: RNAcentral
GUUUUUAUGUCAUGUUAAAUUUAUUUUAUAGAAUUUUUAAGAGAGAUCAAGGUUAUUUUGACCUGAAAUUUUUUUUUUAGUUAGAUACAUUGGGAAAACAUUAAGGUUAAUUUUUAUGAUUAAAAAAACAACUGGUCUCUUGAAAUAAUAAUGUCCUCACUAUGUAGGGCGUUACCGGAUAACGAUUUCUGCUAAAGGAUGGACGAGUUUCGUGACGAAAAUUCUCUAUGUGGGUGUAGAGUAGACGAACGAAUUUUUCCUCUUCCCCCCUGUCUUUUCAACUGAGUUCGUCCGCAUUAGUUAGCGGUCAUCAACCCAUGUUAAUUUCAAAUGGUCAUUUCUGUUGAUCAAGCGUUUAAGAAUGGAUUCGCUUUGGCUGGAAUUAAUUCUUUUCAUAUGCAGUUACACAUGAAUUGUAAAAAACUGGAAUUGGAGACGGAAAAAAAACUUUAUGAUGUCACGACAGUUUCAAGGUCAUUGGUUUAGAUAAUUGGGAUUAUUGAUAUCAAUAGACAUUCGACGUUACGGUGAUUGUUUUGCGUCUUCAAGGACAUUAGACACUAGAAGUGGGAUCGGAGGUCGAACUCGUUUAAUCUUCAGACUCAAUCCAACUACUCCUUUCUGUUCUUUACUCGCGUUUGACCCAUUUCCUGCACCCUGCUGACCUAUAUCCGUUGGCCCUGUUACAUUGAAGUUUUCCCAUUUCUCCGUCCGGAGGGUUUAAAAAAUACUAAGAAUAUCAAAUGUUGAUCGCGCCUAGUUAGGUGAUUCCGACAUGUUUUGAUUAAAUCAAACAGAAAAAAAAAAAAAAUAUUAUCGACAUUAUUCAUAUCAUAAUCCAUAUAGGAGGAAAAAAAUCUUCAAGAUUUAAUUUGAUUAUGUUCUCCAAAUCAUAUUUCUUAAGAUUUGAUUGUAGAUUUUGUAUUUUUGACGAAAUCCGAAUUCGUGAUUGUCGAAAAGAUUUCCUUUUCCUCUUUAGAAAACCUGCUUUCUUAAUAAAAUUCUUGUGUGUCCGUGUAAGUUCGUACGUGUUUGUCGUAUCCAGUUUUUAUGAAAGUUUUCAGGUACAGAGAUGAUGUACACAACGUUGACUUAAUUUUUAGUGUGUCACGGGUUUCGACCUCGACCGACGAUAAAUAUAAAAUGGCCGUCAUUGUAGAUAUUUCGUCGCCAUGACUACCCGACGGGUGUGUCUCAACCCCCCAUCGGGAAAAGGGGAAUUCGAUCGAUCGAAACGUUUAAAAAAAAUAACGUUAGCUGACGUAUAGAAUUGAGAAGUGAAGGUCAGUUUCGUUAUCAGCUCAAAUAAAUCACCCCCACAUGAAAAAUUCGUUCUGUAUUUUCUGUAGAGAAAUAUAUAUAUUUUUAAUAUUUAUGUAUGCUGCACGUAAGAUAUUUUUCUUUGAAAAUUUAACCAGUCUAACCACUCGACCGGAAGAGAGUCGAACAGGUGUUCUACCAGUUUUCGGUUGCUUUUUAACCUUCCUUAGUUUCGUUACUCUUUGCAGCUGUAAUUUUGUUUUGUUUGUUUUUUUUUUUAUGAUGUAGCUUCAUCGAUUGCUACGUUAAGCCGCACACGAUCGUUGUUUUUCUCGAACUUCGGAUACGCUUGGCUGGUCGGGGAAAGGUAAUGUUGUGAUGACGUAAAGUUGAAACCAUCCGGCGAAUCCGAUGAACUUCUCGAUAUCGAUAACCGCAUGCGAUAGUCGUUAUAAAAAAUUUGUCAAGGUCUCAUCCCCUAUUCUCUCUUAAAAAUGGCAUUCCAAAUUUGGUGAAAUGCACUUGCUCAAGGUAGUAUUAUAAUAAUUUAUCACGAUUGGGCAGAUUUACUCAUCCGGUUAAUCUGUUAGUCAUCGACCAGUCACGUGACAAUGUCCACUAAAGUCGCGUUUAUAUUUUAAUUCUGGGCGUAACAUUAUUAUUGAUUUAUAAUGAUUUCAUUGAUUCGGCUACUGAUGAUAUCUGAAACCAUAAUUAUUAAUUUGAUAAUUUUCAUUAAUUCACACAAUGCUAGAUGAUAAUUAAAAUCAUAUCCAGUAAGAUAAAUGCUCUCUCCCAUCCACGUAGUCUUCUCAGUUAAAAAAAUAAUAA